This 402-nucleotide ribosomal RNA is filed under the name bacterium. RNAcentral describes it as "partial 16S ribosomal RNA". It matches the Rfam family "Bacterial small subunit ribosomal RNA", at positions 355 to 776 of the family's 1533-position model. The record is from RNAcentral.
UGGGGAAUUUUGCACAAUGGGGGAAACCCUGAUGCAGCGACGCCGCGUGAUUUAGAAGGCCUUCGGGUUGUAAAAAUCUUUUCUAUGGGAAGAAAAUGACAGUACCAUAGGAAUAAGGACCGGCUAAUUACGUGCCAGCAGCCGCGGUAAUACGUAAGGUCCGAGCGUUGUCCGGAAUCAUUGGGCGUAAAGGGUACGUAGGCGGGUAAGCAAGUUAGAAGUGAAAUCCUAUAGCUCAACUAAAGUAAGCUUUUAAAACUGCUCAUCUUGAGGUAUGGAAGGAAAAGUGGAAUUCCUAGUGUAGCGGUGAAAUGCGCAGAUAGUAGGAGGAAUACCGGUGGCGAAGGCGACUUUCUGGCCAUAACCUGACGCUGAGGUACGAAAGCGUGGGUAGCAAACAGG